AAUAGUUACAUGGCCUAGCACUGCACUGAUCCUACACUUCAGACCCUACCUUUAACAGUAACAUCAAAGAGGGAGGACAAAACACAUGGAUUGUUACUUUUGGAGCUUCUUUGGGAUGAAUAAAUACAAUCUGCAAAGUUGACUUAUUUGAGUUUUAUGUUUUCUGCUUGCUUUUCACCUCAUGAACAGCAUCAAGCCAUAUCUUCCUUGGGUUUUCUAGGGGCCUGUGUGAGAUGCAGAGAGUUGUAGUAGCAACUUUCUAUAUCCUUAAAUUAAAGGGGAGAGAAGGGGAAACACUGCUGAAUAUUUACCAGAGAGGUCUUUUCCCCCAGCUGUUUGUUCGGGUGUUGGAGUCAAGUAAGUAACAACAAAAGAAUGCAAACUCCUCAGCUCACGUACAGGAGCGUUACUCUUGAAAUUAACAGAGCUGACUGACUUGUGUCAGCUGAGGAUCUGGCCCAGAGAAAUCUCUUCCCCCUUUGAGUUGCUCAAACUGUACUUGUGAUGUCACCAUCUCACUAGAUCUGCAAUCAUCCACAGAAUCUGCUAGAAUGAAGGAGAGGGCACCUGGAACCUGAUUCUCUGGUGUAAAACAAGCACAGAAAAACCAGCUUGCCUUUUUAAGCCUUCUGUAGAGGUUGACCCUCUUAGAUGAUCUUGAAGAGGACAAUACAACAACCUCCUCUCAACACUUCUCUUCUAGAGUAUUCAUUCUUAUGCCCAAAAGGCCUCUAACAGAGAUUCUCUUUCUUUUCCUGUUUGUUUGUCUGUCUGCAGGUCCAAACACUUACGAAGAUGCGGCAGCAUAUAUCCAAGCACAAUUUGAAAGCAAAAACCGCUCCCCCAACAAGGAGAUUUACUGUCACAUGACUUGCGCGACAGACACGAACAACAUCCAGGUGGUAUUCGACGCUGUCACCGACAUCAUCAUUGCCAACAACCUUCGAGGCUGCGGCUUGUACUGAUACCUUCUCACCCUGUAUAGCAAAGCAACUUCUUUGACCACUUCACGGACUCUCCUGUUGACGUUCUCCUUACCGGUAGCAUGACCUUUUGGCCUUUGUAUAAGACACAGCCUUCCUUAUUGAGUCGAUGUAUAAUGUUCUGAACAUGGAAUGGUGGCUGUGUGUUUCCGUAGAAUGCUGUAGAUCUGGUUUUAGCUGAGUCUUUACAUUUAGAAGCUAAAUGAUUAAAAAAAAGAAGAAAAACAUUUAAAAAAAAAACUUUUUUUUCCAUGUGCUUUGUAGCUAAAAAAGAGGGAAAAAUUCUUCCUUUCACGUUCUCCCUUCCCCCAUUUCUUUUCAAAAACAGAUUUUUGCAACAGUUCUAGGAAGCAUUCUCUUCUCAAUUCCUCAUUUUAAUGGGGAUGAAUUUGCAUUUGUUUUCAUUUAAGUUCCUUUUCAAUUUUUAUUUGUGCCCUGCCUUUAAAAACUAAAAAAUAAAGGUUUUUAUUAGCCUGGAGUAAUAAGACCAUGCUGUAGUACCAUGACAGUGGGUCAGGUAUCUAGAAGGGGCUGUCUUUCUGCUUUUGUUUUUCCUAGUUUAAUAACAACUCUUUGCUCUGAAUUGUCUCUCUCAUUCUCCAGGUUUGUAUUGAAAAAAGCACAGCUGUCACUGGCCAGUCAAUAGUGGCCAAAUUAUCUAGAGAUUUCCCCCAUUUCAACUUUAUUUUCUCUAAAGAAUACUGUGUAUUACAUACCAUAUAGGUUUCCUCUUCUUUAUUUAUUUUGGGGGUUGAUUUGGGGGCUUUGGGGAGGGUAUUUUUGUUUGGGGUAUUUUUUGUUUUGUUUUGUUUUUUUUAAUUUUUAACUCUUUCCAGUGAAUGCUUUUUUGUGCUGCUUUUUCCCUCCUCCGAUCCUUCCUUUUAGUGAAUGUUUUUUCUCUCUCAUGUGGGGAUGUUUGUGCUGCAAAAAUAAUUAAAAAAAAAAAAGAAAGAAAGAAAUGAUUUAAAAAUUUUAAAAAACACACACAAAAACCACAAAAACUAUAAAAAAACAGAAUCGAAUGUAGUGUUUACAUUAAAGCCACAGUUUUCAUGACCAAUCCUUCAUCAUUUCUACUUUGAUUAGUAAUCAGAUGUCUUCACAGUUUCACUUUUAAGAGUUAUCUUUGCUGAAGAAAACCAGUUACACCUGUUUAAAAUAAAAUGAAUAAACAAAGAGGAAACUAAAAUAUAUAUAUAUAUAAAGCGCCAGGUCUUUCUAAGCCUUUCUAUUACCAAUCAGUGAGGUUUCUGUGAUAUAUUAGACACUGCCAAUCUCUUUCUCUGACUAAUGGAAAAUUCAUGUGUAGCUCAAUAAAGAGAAUGUUUGUCUGUA
This is a long non-coding RNA of Gavialis gangeticus (Gharial), 2318 nucleotides long. RefSeq lists it as uncharacterized. NCBI's taxonomy places the organism in Eukaryota, Metazoa, Chordata, Crocodylia, Gavialidae. The transcript is spliced from 2 exons. The record is from RefSeq and is a predicted model, not a curated record.